GUUUAUAGUUGAAAGUGAUACAGCUGAUUUCCUUGAGCGGCCGCUGUCCUCUGAAAUGGUUAUCUUUUACAUCACUCAGGAUACACAAAGGCAUCCGCUACUCUCUGAAUUAAAAUCAGGUGGUUUUCGGGUUACUGGGAAAAUGUCAACUCUGUGCUCUCUUUCAGAUCCCAUCACCGGUGAAUUAAUAGUUGAAACAUCUGCAGUCCCCAUUAAUUCAAUUGACAUUCACUUGUGCCGUGUGGAAUCUGUUAUUCUUGGAGAGAGAAUCAUAACUGAAACCUCCGUG
Molecule: unclassified non-coding RNA, 289 nt
Filed under: Hevea brasiliensis (rubber tree)
Lineage: Eukaryota; Viridiplantae; Streptophyta; Magnoliopsida; Malpighiales; Euphorbiaceae
Source: RNAcentral